AAUUGCCGGGAUAGCUCAGUCGGUAGAGCAGAGGA
This 35-nucleotide transfer RNA is filed under the name Odontoschisma denudatum. RNAcentral's name for it is "partial tRNA-Phe". The record is from RNAcentral. Lineage: Eukaryota; Viridiplantae; Streptophyta; Jungermanniopsida; Jungermanniales; Cephaloziaceae.